AUACCUUUCUCGGCCUUUUGGCUAAGAUCAAGUGUAGUAUCUGUUAUUAUCAGUUUAAUAUCUGAUACGUGGGCCAUCGGUCCACAUGAUAUUAAGUUUAUUUUUCUAGGGGAAGACCCACCGCAGUAGCUUGCUACUAGGGUCCUCGCGCGUCGCCCAUGCGUUGCACUACUGCAAGGGCCCGGCGCAUCCCAC
RNAcentral lists this small nuclear RNA (195 nucleotides) under Nelumbo nucifera (sacred lotus). Its description in RNAcentral is "U2 spliceosomal RNA". It matches the Rfam family "U2 spliceosomal RNA". Rfam says of the family: U2 is a small nuclear RNA (snRNA) component of the spliceosome (involved in pre-mRNA splicing). Complementary binding between U2 snRNA (in an area lying towards the 5' end but 3' to hairpin I) and the branchpoint sequence (BPS) of the intron results the bulging out of an unpaired adenosine, on the BPS, which initiates a nucleophilic attack at the intronic 5' splice site, thus starting the first of two transesterification reactions that mediate splicing. The record is from Rfam by way of RNAcentral. Lineage: Eukaryota; Viridiplantae; Streptophyta; Magnoliopsida; Proteales; Nelumbonaceae.